This 403-nucleotide long non-coding RNA is filed under the name Cyanistes caeruleus (blue tit). RNAcentral describes it as "lncRNA (ENSCCEG00000021640.1)". Lineage: Eukaryota; Metazoa; Chordata; Aves; Passeriformes; Paridae. The record is from RNAcentral.
CAAAUGUUUUUAAUGAUUAUAAUAAUAUAGAACUAUGCAAUGUGAAUGUGGAUUUUUUCUCUGCAGAAAUACAGGAUGUAUUUACUUAAGGAAAUCCUGUCCCAGAUCUCUCUGCUGCUUCACAUCAUCUCUUUAGAUUGGGUUCUUCCAGAGACAGAAUGAUCCGCUGGAGGUCUCUCACAGUAAGAAAAACAUGCAUUAGUCUCCAUCAGAAAAGGUAGUGCCUGAGUGAAGACAUGCAGGUACAGAAGUAGGUUAAGGAAACUUAUGUCUGCUGUUAUGGAUUUUCAUUUUCACUGGAGGGAUUUAACAUUGGGAUAUUGUGUGAAUCAUUCUCUAUGUAUGUGUCUAACUUGUGUAGAUAAAAAAUCAUUUACAUGAAAUAAAACAAAAAGAAACUACA